CCUACUGAGUGCAGCAGUGGGGAAUAUUGCACAAUGGGGGAAACCCUGAUGCAGCGACGCCGCGUGAGUGAAGCAGUAUUUCGGUAUGUAAAGCUCUAUCAGCAGGGACGAAAAUGACGGUACCUGAUAAAGAAGCCCCGGCUAACUACGUGCCAGCAGCCGCGGUAAUACGUAGGGGGCAAGCGGUCUCCGGAUUUACUGGGGGUAAAGGGAGCGUAGACGGCAGCACAAGUCUGGCGUGAAAUGCCGGGGCUUAACCCCUGAACUGCUUUGGAAACUGUGCUGCUAGAGUGCAGGAGAGGUAAGUGGAAUUCCUAGUGUAGCGGUGAAAUGCGUAGAUAUUAGGAGGAACACCAGUGGCGAAGGCGGCUUACUGGACUUUAACUGACGUUGAGGCGCGAAAGCGUGGGGAGCAAACAGGAUUAGAUACCCCUGUAGUC
This 440-nucleotide ribosomal RNA is filed under the name uncultured bacterium. RNAcentral describes it as "partial 16S ribosomal RNA". It matches the Rfam family "Bacterial small subunit ribosomal RNA", at positions 338 to 795 of the family's 1533-position model. The record is from RNAcentral.